Molecule: ribosomal RNA, 465 nt
Filed under: uncultured bacterium
Lineage: Bacteria
Description: partial 16S ribosomal RNA
Rfam family: Bacterial small subunit ribosomal RNA
Source: RNAcentral
GACGAACGCUGGCGGCGUGCUUAACACAUGCAAGUCGUACGGUAAGGCCCUUUCGGGGGUCCACGAGUGGCGAUCGGGUGCGUAACACGUGAGUAACCUGCCCACAACUUUGGGAUAACGCUAGGAAACUGGUGCUAAUACUGGAUAUGUGCUCCUGCUGCAUGGUGGGGGUUGGAAAGCUCCGGCGGUUGUGGAUGGACUCGCGGCCUAUCAGCUUGUUGGUGGGGUAGUGGCCUACCAAGGCGGCGACGGGUAGCCGGCCUGAGAGGGUGACCGGCCACAUUGGGACUGAGAUACGGCCCAGACUCCUACGGGAGGCAGCAGUGGGGAAUAUUGCACAAUGGGCGCAAGCCUGAUGCAGCAACGCCGCGUGCGGGAUGACGGCCUUCGGGUUGUAAACCGCUUUCAGCAGGGACGAAGCUUUUUGUGACGGUACCUGCAGAAGAAGCACCGGCUAACUACGUG